Phyllostomus discolor (pale spear-nosed bat) is the source of this 705-nucleotide long non-coding RNA. RefSeq lists it as uncharacterized. NCBI's taxonomy places the organism in Eukaryota, Metazoa, Chordata, Mammalia, Chiroptera, Phyllostomidae. The record is from RefSeq and is a predicted model, not a curated record. The transcript is spliced from 3 exons.
ACACUGCACUGGACAGAGACACUCAGUCCUUUGACCCCCCUGUGGGCAAUUCAAGGCCCUCCUGGCAGCUGGUUGCUCUCUCAGGCUGUGUCUGCUGCUGUUGCCACAAGAUUUAACAAUUUUAGCAAAGUAACUUAUUCUCUACUGAAUGACUACAUUGAUGAAAUUUGGAAGAGUUUAUUGAUUUAGCUUGUGUCCUGUAGUUUGUGGAACUGCUUAACAAAAAGUAACAUUCCAUGAAUGCUGCACUUUUCAUAAAUUUCCUAUCACCCAUUUUACCACUAUAAGACUCUGUUUCCUCAUACUUCCAAAGGUCCUAUAUACCUGAUAUCACCUCAUUGUCUGGUAUUUACUUGUACUCAUGCAUGUAUUAAAUUUUGAAUAUCUUGUAGUGAUCUGAUUACAUUAUUGUAAUUAUUAUCCCACAGGUGUUAGAGCCAACAAGGUUUUGUGGAAAAUAAUCCCUUUUUAAUUCCUCACAGUUUUGAAAAGCCAGCAUUGUGGAAUGAAUGGUGAGACAGUGCUAACUCCUGAACCUGUUGCAGCUGAGAGGUCAUGGGCAUCUGCCAUCCAAGGUCAGCAUCCUUUUUGUUCAAUCUGUCUUUUGACCUAUUGCUGCUGGGUUUGGUAAAAUUUUGAAGUUUGCAUUUAGAGAGACAUGGAUUUUAUCUUAUUGAAUCACGGGUUUUUUUACAAUGUGAAGAG